UUUUUGUGGAGGGUUCGAUUCUGGCUCAGGAUGAACGCUGGCGGCGUGCUUAACACAUGCAAGUCGAACGGGAUCGGCUGGAGCUUGCUCCGGCCGUGAGAGUGGCGAACGGGUGAGUAAUGCGUGACCGACCUGCCCCAUACACCGGAAUAGCUCCUGGAAACGGGUGGUAAUGCCGGAUGCUCCAGUUGGAUGCAUGUCCUUCUGGGAAAGAUUCUAU
This 220-nucleotide ribosomal RNA is filed under the name Bifidobacterium adolescentis. RNAcentral's name for it is "partial 16S ribosomal RNA". It matches the Rfam family "Bacterial small subunit ribosomal RNA", at positions 1 to 213 of the family's 1533-position model. The record is from RNAcentral. Lineage: Bacteria; Bacillati; Actinomycetota; Actinomycetes; Bifidobacteriales; Bifidobacteriaceae.